GCAUAUCAAUAAGCGGAGGAAAAGAAACCAACAGGGAUUGCCCUAGUAACGGCGAGUGAAGCGGCAACAGCUCAAAUUUGAAAUCUGGCCUCGGCCCGAGUUGUAAUUUGCAGAGGAAGCUUUAGGCGCGGCACCUUCUGAGUCCCCUGGAACGGGGCGCCAUAGAGGGUGAGAGCCCCGUAUAGUUGGAUGCCUAGCCUGUGUAAAGCUCCUUCGACGAGUCGAGUAGUUUGGGAAUGCUGCUCAAAAUGGGAGGUAAAUUUCUUCUAAAGCUAAAUACCGGCCAGAGACCGAUAGCGCACAAGUAGAGUGAUCGAAAGAUGAAAAGCACUUUGAAAAGAGGGUUAAAUAGCACGUGAAAUUGUUGAAAGGGAAGCGCUUGUGACCAGACUUGCGCCGGGCUGAUCAUCCGGUGUUCUCACCGGUGCACUCUGCCCGGCUCAGGCCAGCAUCGGUUCUCGCGGGGGGAUAAAGGCCCAGGGAACGUAGCUCCUCCGGGAGUGUUAUAGCCCUGGGUGCAAUGCCCUCGCGGGGACCGAGGUUCGCGCAUCUGCAAGGAUG
RNAcentral lists this ribosomal RNA (561 nucleotides) under Arcopilus cupreus. Its description in RNAcentral is "eukaryotic LSU rRNA". It matches the Rfam family "Eukaryotic large subunit ribosomal RNA", at positions 38 to 625 of the family's 3401-position model. Lineage: Eukaryota; Fungi; Ascomycota; Sordariomycetes; Sordariales; Chaetomiaceae. The record is from RNAcentral.